Molecule: transfer RNA, 71 nt
Filed under: Marmota monax (woodchuck)
Lineage: Eukaryota; Metazoa; Chordata; Mammalia; Rodentia; Sciuridae
Description: tRNA.Ile
Source: RNAcentral
UGGGAAUGUAGUUCAGUGGCAGAGCACAGGUUUAAUAUGUGGGAGGCCCUGGGAUCAAUCCCCAGCACUAA